Molecule: unclassified non-coding RNA, 343 nt
Filed under: soil metagenome
Description: partial contains 5.8S ribosomal RNA, internal transcribed spacer 2, and large subunit ribosomal RNA
Rfam family: 5.8S ribosomal RNA (bases 1-120)
Source: RNAcentral
GAUGAAGAACGUAGCGAAAUGCGAUAAGUAAUGUGAAUUGCAGAAUUCAGUGAAUCAUCGAAUCUUUGAACGCACAUUGCGCCCGCUAGUAUUCUGGCGGGCAUGCCUGUCCGAGCGUCAUUUCAACCCUCAAGCCCCCGGGCUUGGUGUUGGGGAUCGGCGAGCCUCCGCGCCCGCCGUCCCCUAAAUCUAGUGGCGGUCUCGCUGUAGCUUCCUCUGCGUAGUAGCACACCUCGCACUGGCAAACAGCGCGGCCACGCCGUUAAACCCCCAACUUCUGAACGUUUGACCUCGGAUCAGGUAGGAAUACCCGCUGAACUUAAGCAUAUCAAUAAGCGGAGGA